UACGUAGGGGGCAAGCGUUGUCCGGAAUUAUUGGGCGUAAAGAGCGCGUAGGCGGUCCGAUAAGUCGGCUGUGAAAGUCAUGGGCUCAACCCAUGAAAGCCGGCCGAUACUGUCGGACUAGAGUCCGGAAGAGGCAAGUGGAAUUCCCGGUGUAGCGGUGAAAUGCGCAGAUAUCGGGAGGAACACCAAUGGCGAAGGCAGCUUGCUGGGACGGUACUGACGCUGAGACGCGAAAGCGUGGGGAGCAAACAGG
RNAcentral lists this ribosomal RNA (253 nucleotides) under uncultured bacterium. Its description in RNAcentral is "partial 16S ribosomal RNA". It matches the Rfam family "Bacterial small subunit ribosomal RNA", at positions 524 to 776 of the family's 1533-position model. The record is from RNAcentral.